GGGGUUGUGGCCCAGUGGUAGAGCACUUGCUUCACAUGCAUGAGGCACUGGGUUCGUUCCCCAGCACCACA
RNAcentral lists this transfer RNA (71 nucleotides) under Marmota monax (woodchuck). RNAcentral describes it as "tRNA.Val". It matches the Rfam family "tRNA". From Rfam's summary of the family: Transfer RNA (tRNA) molecules are approximately 80 nucleotides in length. Their secondary structure includes four short double-helical elements and three loops (D, anti-codon, and T loops). Further hydrogen bonds mediate the characteristic L-shaped molecular structure. tRNAs have two regions of fundamental functional importance: the anti-codon, which is responsible for specific mRNA codon recognition, and the 3' end, to which the tRNAs corresponding amino acid is attached (by aminoacyl-tRNA synthetases). tRNAs cope with the degeneracy of the genetic code in two manners: having more than one tRNA (with a specific anti-codon) for a particular amino acid; and 'wobble' base-pairing, i.e. permitting non-standard base-pairing at the 3rd anti-codon position. The record is from RNAcentral. Lineage: Eukaryota; Metazoa; Chordata; Mammalia; Rodentia; Sciuridae.